Molecule: ribosomal RNA, 254 nt
Filed under: uncultured bacterium
Lineage: Bacteria
Description: partial 16S ribosomal RNA
Rfam family: Bacterial small subunit ribosomal RNA
Source: RNAcentral
UACGGAGGGUGCAAGCGUUACCCGGAAUCACUGGGCGUAAAGGGCGCGUAGGUGGCCCGGUCAGUUCGUGGUGAAAGCGCGGGGCUCAACCCUGCGUCGGCCAUGAAUACUGCCGCGGCUGGAGCACUGUAGAGGCAGGCGGAAUUCCGGGUGUAGCGGUGGAAUGCGUAGAGAUCCGGAAGAACACCGGUGGCGAAGGCGGCCUGCUGGGCAGUUGCUGACACUGAGGCGCGACAGCGUGGGGAGCGAACAGG